RNAcentral lists this ribosomal RNA (252 nucleotides) under uncultured bacterium. RNAcentral describes it as "partial 16S ribosomal RNA". It matches the Rfam family "Bacterial small subunit ribosomal RNA", at positions 524 to 776 of the family's 1533-position model. The record is from RNAcentral.
UACGGAGGGGACUAGCGUUGUUCGGAAUUACUGGGCGUAAAGCGCACGUAGGCGGAUUUGAAGUCAGGGGUGAAAUCCCGGGGCUCAACCUCGGAACUGCCUUUGAUACUGCAAAUCUCGAGUCCGGAAGAGGUGAGUGGAAUUCCUAGUGUAGAGGUGAAAUUCGUAGAUAUUAGGAAGAACACCAGUGGCGAAGGCGGCUCACUGGUCCGGUACUGACGCUGAGGUGCGAAAGCGUGGGGAGCAAACAGG